This 460-nucleotide ribosomal RNA is filed under the name uncultured bacterium. Its description in RNAcentral is "partial 16S ribosomal RNA". It matches the Rfam family "Bacterial small subunit ribosomal RNA", at positions 338 to 795 of the family's 1533-position model. The record is from RNAcentral.
CCUACGGGAGGCUGCAGUGAGGAAUAUUGGUCAAUGGACGAGAGUCUGAACCAGCCAAGUAGCGUGAAGGAUGACUGCCCUCUGGUUUGUAAACUUCUUUUAUAUGGGAAUAAAACGUUCCACGUGUGGGAUUUUGUAUGUACCAUAUGAAUAAGGAUCGGCUAACGCCGUGCCAGCAGCCGCGGUAAUACGGAGGAUCCGAGCGUUAUCCGGAUUUAUUGGGUUGAAAGGGAGCGUAGGUGGAUUGUUAAGUCAGUGGUGAAAGUUUGCGGCUUAACCGUAAAAUUGCAGUUGAAACUGGCAGUCUUGAGUACAGUAGAGGUGAGCGGAAUUCGUUGUGUAGCGGUGAAAUGCUUAGAUAUCUCGAAGAACUCCGAUUGCGAAGGCAGUUCACUGGACUGCAACUGACACUGAGGCUCGAAAGUGUGGGUAUCAAACAGGAUUAGAUACCCUUGUAGUC